CUGGCGGCACGCCUUAUACAUGCAAGUCGAACGAAGUAGCAAUACUUAGUGGCAGACGGGUGAGUAACAUGUAGGUAUCUUCCCUUUGGUGAGGAAUAACACGAGGAAACUUGUGCUAAUACCUCAUAAGUCUUUACGGAGAAAGCUUUAUGCGCCAAUGGAUGAGCCUGCACUUGAUUAGUUUGUUGGUGGGGUAAUGGCCUACCAAGACUUUGAUCAAUAGCUGAUCUGAGAGGAUGAUCAGCCACAUUGGGACUGAGACACGGCCCAAACUCCUACGGGAGGCAGCAGUAGGGAAUAUUGCACAAUGGAGGAAACUCUGAUGCAGCGAUGCCGCGUGAGUGAAGAAGGCCUUUGGGUUGUAAAGCUCUUUCGUCGGGGAAGAAAAUGACGGUACCCGAAUAAGAAGGUCCGGCUAACUU
This 422-nucleotide ribosomal RNA is filed under the name uncultured bacterium. RNAcentral describes it as "bacterial SSU rRNA". It matches the Rfam family "Bacterial small subunit ribosomal RNA", at positions 36 to 503 of the family's 1533-position model. The record is from RNAcentral.